GACGAACGCUGGCGGCGUGCUUAACACAUGCAAGUCGAACGGAAAGGCCCUGCUUUUGUGGGGUGCUCGAGUGGCGAACGGGUGAGUAACACGUGAGUAACCUGCCCUUGACUUUGGGAUAACUUCAGGAAACUGGGGCUAAUACCGGAUAGGAGCUCCUGCUGCAUGGUGGGGGUUGGAAAGUUUCGGCGGUUGGGGAUGGACUCGCGGCUUAUCAGCUUGUUUGUGGGGUAGUGGCUUACCAAGGCUUUGACGGGUAGCCGGCCUGAGAGGGUGACCGGCCUCAUUGGGACUGAGAUACGGCCCAGACUCCUACGGGAGGCAGCAGUGGGGAAUAUUGCACAAUGGGCGGAAGCCUGAUGCAGCAACGCCGCGUGCGGGAUGACGGCCUUCGGGUUGUAAACCGCUUUCGCCUGUGACGAAGCGUGAGUGACGGUAAUGGGUAAAGAAGCACCGGCUAACUACGUG
Molecule: ribosomal RNA, 468 nt
Filed under: uncultured bacterium
Lineage: Bacteria
Description: partial 16S ribosomal RNA
Rfam family: Bacterial small subunit ribosomal RNA
Source: RNAcentral